GCGGACGUGGUGGAAUUGGCAGACACGCAGGACUUAGAAUCCUGUCUCGAAAGAGGUGAGAGUUCAACUCUCUCCGUCCGCA
This 82-nucleotide transfer RNA is filed under the name Candidatus Omnitrophota bacterium. RNAcentral describes it as "Candidatus Omnitrophica bacterium tRNA-Leu". It matches the Rfam family "tRNA". From Rfam's summary of the family: Transfer RNA (tRNA) molecules are approximately 80 nucleotides in length. Their secondary structure includes four short double-helical elements and three loops (D, anti-codon, and T loops). The record is from RNAcentral. Lineage: Bacteria; Pseudomonadati; Candidatus Omnitrophota.